Molecule: ribosomal RNA, 253 nt
Filed under: uncultured bacterium
Lineage: Bacteria
Description: partial 16S ribosomal RNA
Rfam family: Bacterial small subunit ribosomal RNA
Source: RNAcentral
UACGAAGGGUGCAAGCGUUACUCGGAAUUACUGGGCGUAAAGCGUGCGUAGGUGGUCGUUUAAGUCUGUCGUGAAAGCCCUGGGCUCAACCUGGGAAUUGCGAUGGAUACUGGGCGACUAGAGUGUGGUAGAGGAUAGUGGAAUUUCCGGUGUAGCAGUGAAAUGCGCAGAGAUCGGGAGGAACACCCGUAGCGAAGGCGGCACUCUGGGCCGGUACUGACGCUGAGGAGCGAAAGCGUGGGGAGCAAACAGG